GAUCUGAUCGUGCCUCCUGCUAUUGCUUACCAGAGACAGGUGCCCAUGGCACAACGCAGGGCUGCUGCACUCAAACUCGGCCGCCCUUCAUUUAAUUCAAAGGAAGCUCAAUGUUGUUCUUCAGCUGGCUGAGGACACAGCGAUGGCGUAGCUCAUUUGCUUCAUUUUCUACAUGGAAAGAUACAGUUUGAUUUGGAAAGUGACUUGAUUUGAGACAGCUGCCUGAGGUCUCUUCCACUUUCGGCUCUUCUGCCUCACUUCCCCUCUCAGGAGCCACUGGUCAUGAUUGUGGGCAUCUGUGUCACAACAUGGCUCACAGAGACCACCAGGAUGCUCAAGACGAAGUUCUAGGGAACUGGACUGCUGAGGUAUCCGUGAAGAGGAGGUGCUGCUGCUGAGCUGUGGACUGAACGGCCGAUGUCCAGACAACACGGAUGGAGUCGCUCCAAAGAACCUUCCUAACAUGUUGGUCCACUUCCCCCGUAUCCUUCCUUUUCCACUACCUCUGGUGGGUGUUGGGCUAAAAGGGAGGUAAGAACCGUCAUUAAAAAUAGGUUCUGAAAAGAAAAUAAAGUCACGACAACUG
Molecule: long non-coding RNA, 586 nt
Filed under: Rattus norvegicus (Norway rat)
Lineage: Eukaryota; Metazoa; Chordata; Mammalia; Rodentia; Muridae
Description: long non-coding RNA NONRATT014441
Source: RNAcentral